AUUGAACGCUGGCGGCAUGCCUUACACAUGCAAGUCGAACGGCAGCAUGGAAGAGCUUGCUCUUCUGAUGGCGAGUGGCGAACGGGUGAGUAAAGCAUCGGAACGUACCGUGUAGUGGGGGAUAACGUAGCGAAAGUUACGCUAAUACCGCAUACGCACUGAGGUGGAAAGCAGGGGAUCGCAAGACCUUGCGCUAUACGAGCGGCCGAUGUCAGAUUAGCUGGUUGGUAGGGUAAAGGCCUACCAAGGCGACGAUCUGUAGCGGGUCUGAGAGGAUGAUCCGCCACACUGGGACUGAGACACGGCCCAGACUCCUACGGGAGGCAGCAGGGGGGAAUUUUGGACAAUGGGGGAAACCCUGAUCCAGCCAUGCCGCGUGAGUGAAGAAGGCCUUCGGGUUGUAAAGCUCUUUCGGCUGGGAAGAAAUCGCACAGGCUAAUACUCUGUGUGGAUGACGGUACCAGCAUAAGAAGCACCGGCUAACUACGUGCCAGCAGCCGCCGUAA
This 506-nucleotide ribosomal RNA is filed under the name uncultured bacterium. RNAcentral's name for it is "partial 16S ribosomal RNA". It matches the Rfam family "Bacterial small subunit ribosomal RNA", at positions 30 to 523 of the family's 1533-position model. The record is from RNAcentral.